CAAACAAGUUAAAACUAUUUUUUUAUCUACAAGAUCUCCAUUGAAGUGAUGCUGAUGAUUGAUUUCAGGAUUAUACUAGAUAAGAAAAGUUCGAUAAAGAUCGAACGAUAAAGUAACGUGACUCGGAGUGCUUCUAAGUUAUUUCUUUACUUGUGGAUGAUCAAAUUUUAUCACGUGUGCAAUUAAAACCCCAGAGUCUUGAUAAUGUGUUUGGUAUACUUAACAUUUAUCACAGUUAUUCAAUUGGUAUGUUGUUGUGUGUUGAUGUAACUAUUCGUCCGAAAAUAUAGCAAUUAAGAGGAAAUUUUUGCGAUUUUCCUUUAGCAUUUUCUUUUUCAUAGACAUAGUUUAAGCGUGUUUUUAAUAAGUUCUUGCUUAAUAUAUGUGCAUGUUUUCCAGAUGCUGAGUCUUGCAUUACAAGUGAUAAACACAAUUUGGCGGAGUGGAUAGUUCGACUGAAAGACUCGAUUCAAAAAGACAAAGUAAUGGUGGAUGAAAACCUUGAAACGAUAGGUAACCAAUUGAAACGGACAGACUUGUGUAACGAUGCUUUGGCUAAUUUGAGGAUGUAUAAAACUCUCCUGGAAAACGAGCUUCUUAACCUCACAGCCGCUGUGAUGCAAAUGUCAACGGAAGAGGAGAGGUUGAGGGUUUCAUUGCGAGAAGAACGGAAAGCGGUGAAAAAUCUAACUCGGCAUGUAGAUGAGUAUUUAAGCGCAAAAAAUAAUUAUAGUAACGAGCUGAACCAUUUGAAAGAGGAGAAUAUAAAGCUUGAAAUGCAGCUGGAAAAUCAAACGGCUGAAAUGAGUUUUCAGAAAAUCGUAGACGUGCACUCUGGUAUGAAUGUGAUAGAGCUUGUAUUUCGAGAGCUCUUCGGAGAAAAGGAGAGAGUCAAUCAGUGGAGCAAAUUUUUUCAGACAGUGCAAGCGAUAGUUCAUCAGAAGAACGCAAACACAGCAGCUGAUGAGCAUCUGAAAAACUGAAAAAAACUUUGAAAUCCCCCCCUGAAAGAAUAUUGAAGGACCUAGAAACCUAUUUUCACUCUCCGGAAGAGUUCGGACAAACUGUGGACCAGCUUCAUAAAAAACUGUCCGAUGAUAUCCAAUCUCACCGUGUAGGCAAACCCUUUACAGAUGAAAAACUGCCAAAAUUAAUACGUGUAUCACUCCAGAUAAUUCUCGAUGCGUUUCUCCUAGACUAACAAAUUAGUGGAAAUUAGUUCAAUACAAAUUAAUCCUAAAAGGCCCUUCAUUUCCAGUUCUUGAAAUAUAAGUCAUUAUUAUUGUUUAAGCAAGACGACCAUUAUACUAACAUAACUUCAACUCCAAAUGAAUCACACUCAUCUGAAGAGGAACUGAGAAUUUCGAUGAAAAACCCUCUUCAGGAACGAAAGUUUUUCCUUUGUCAUCCGAGGGCUAUGGAGUGUUAAUCGUUUAACUACAAAAGCCUCCACAGCCACAGCCGUAUAAAAUUUCAUUAGUGUAUAUUAAUUUUAAAAUGAUUUCAUUAAACUUUCUGACGCCAAAUUUGAUUGUUAACUUCAUUCAUAUAUUUCCCCCGAAAUGUUGUCAAAUCGUGCCAAAAAGCACGGUUUAACAUUUUUGGCACAAUUUGACAACUUGUGGGUGGUCUAUUUUGUUCAAAGAAUGUAAAUUGCAUGUCACUUAUUUAUCAACAUUGGAAUCUAAAUGUAUUUAACCAUUGAAUGAUAGCCUUUGCAUACCCCAUUUUCUGAGCUUUCAUUCCAAAUCUAUUUUUUUUUAGACUUGGUUUGGUUGGUUAGUUAAUUUACGACGAUCAGCAACCA
Molecule: long non-coding RNA, 1807 nt
Filed under: Bemisia tabaci
Lineage: Eukaryota; Metazoa; Arthropoda; Insecta; Hemiptera; Aleyrodidae
Description: lncRNA ENSSSA3NGG003070
Source: RNAcentral